CUGACCAGGAAGUGAUCUUCUGUUUAGAACUGCGAUAUGCAGAAGGUCCGUCUGUCUUCCUUUGAUAUUCACCUGUGAAAAGAAAGUGACAGGGUGAGGAAACAUGGAAUUAAGACGUGUUCAGAGCUGAGAUUCAAGACUGGAACUCUACCAUCACCUUUCCUGGGUCUCCAGCAUGCCUAUUGUAGAUAUUGGGGCUUCUCAGCCCUCAUAACCAUAAUUAUUCAAAGCCUUCAAAGGGUUCUGCAUAGCAAACAACAGACAUGGAACCAUGAACAAGCAAACUAAAGGGAGCCUUAAUACAUUCACCCUAUGUGAGACCAGCCAGAAUGAGGACUCCUCAAGGAC
Molecule: long non-coding RNA, 348 nt
Filed under: Homo sapiens (human)
Lineage: Eukaryota; Metazoa; Chordata; Mammalia; Primates; Hominidae
Description: novel transcript
Source: RNAcentral